UACGUAGGGUGCGAGCGUUGUCCGGAAUUACUGGGCGUAAAGAGCUCGUAGGUGGUUUGUCGCGUUGUUCGUGAAAACUCACAACUCAAUUGUGGGCGUGCGGGCGAUACGGGCAGACUGGAGUACUGCAGGGGAGACUGGAAUUCCUGGUGUAGCGGUGGAAUGCGCAGAUAUCAGUCGGAACACCGGUGGCGAAGGCGGGUCUCUGGGCCGACAUUGACGCUGAGGAGCGAAAGCGUGGGGAGCGAACAGG
This 253-nucleotide ribosomal RNA is filed under the name uncultured bacterium. RNAcentral describes it as "partial 16S ribosomal RNA". It matches the Rfam family "Bacterial small subunit ribosomal RNA", at positions 524 to 776 of the family's 1533-position model. The record is from RNAcentral.